Molecule: ribosomal RNA, 423 nt
Filed under: uncultured bacterium
Lineage: Bacteria
Description: bacterial SSU rRNA
Rfam family: Bacterial small subunit ribosomal RNA
Source: RNAcentral
GGAAUCUUCGGCAAUGGGGCAACCCUGACCGAGCAACGCCGCGUGAGUGAAGAAGGUUUUCGGAUCGUAAAGCUCUGUUGUAAGAGAAGAACGUGCGUGAGAGCAACUGUUCACGCAGUGACGGUAUCUAACCAGAAAGUCACGGCUAACUACGUGCCAGCAGCCGCGGUAAUACGUAGGUGGCAAGCGUUAUCCGGAUUUAUUGGGCGUAAAGCGAGCGCAGGCGGUUUGAUAAGUCUGAUGUGAAAGCCUUUGGCUUAACCAAAGAAGUGCAUCGGAAACUGUCAGACUUGAGUGCAGAAGAGGACAGUGGAACUCCAUGUGUAGCGGUGGAAUGCGUAGAUAUAUGGAGGAACACCGGUGGCGAAAGCGGCUCUCUGGUCUGUAACUGACGCUGAGGCUCGAAAGCGUGGGGAGCAAACA